Molecule: unclassified non-coding RNA, 347 nt
Filed under: Hevea brasiliensis (rubber tree)
Lineage: Eukaryota; Viridiplantae; Streptophyta; Magnoliopsida; Malpighiales; Euphorbiaceae
Source: RNAcentral
CGCCUGCUAUCAUGCCCACAAUUUUCCAGUGACAAAUUAGUUGGCAUGAUUUGAGAAGUUUGUUCAUCCCCAACUUUGAUGUUAAUCCCUUGACAUUUACCCAAUGAUGAAGCUGGCACCUCACUUUCAGUACAUGAUUGAAUGAAAUCCAUAUUUUCAUCACACGACAAAGCACUUAAUGUGACUUUGGAAGUCUGACUUGUGGCAGACUGGACAUUUUCUUCUUGAUGUUGAGACCCCAUCAACAAUAUUGAUUCCUCCCUUUCAAUAUUCAAGUCAGACGGCACAUUGUCUUGAUGUUGAGACCUCAACAAUAAUAUGAGUUCCUCACUUUCAAUAUUUCGUUG